RNAcentral lists this ribosomal RNA (381 nucleotides) under Foraminifera environmental sample. RNAcentral's name for it is "partial small subunit ribosomal RNA". The record is from RNAcentral. Lineage: Eukaryota; Foraminifera.
CUUCAAGAAAAACCACAUAAGACCAUUGUCUACAUGUCUAAUUAAAGAACACAGUAAGAACAAAGGACGUAUGGCUUAACUUUUUAAUUAAGUGAAACGCAAUUAAGCAGACAGAUCACUCCACGAACUAAGAACGGCCAUGCACCACCUAUCACACAAUCAUGAAAGGACUAGCAUAUUUGUUAUACAACACAGCUUUGGCUUUUUUUAUUUUUUUAAAUGAAUAAAAAAGAAAAAAGAAAAACAUGUGAAGUAUGCUCCUGUCAAUCCUCAAUAUGUCCGGACCCGGUAAGUUUCCCCGCGUUGGGUCAAAUUAAGCCACAUGCUCCACGCGUUCUUGUGGUGCCUUUCCGUCAAUUCCUUCAAGUUUCACACGUGCGU